GAUGAACGCUGGCGGCGUGCCUAAUACAUGCAAGUCGAGCGAACAGAUAAGGAGCUUGCUCCUUUGACGUUAGCGGCGGACGGGUGAGUAACACGUGGGUAACCUACCUAUAAGAAUGGAAUAACUCCGGGAAACCGGGGCUAAUGCCGGAUAACAUUUAGAACAGCAUGGUUCUAAAGUGAAAGAUGGUUUUGCUAUCACUUAUAGAUGGACCCGCGCCGUAUUAGCUAGUUGGUAAGGUAACGGCUUACCAAGGCAACGAUACGUAGCCGACCUGAGAGGGUGAUCGGCCACACUGGAACUGAGACACGGUCCAGACUCCUACGGGAGGCAGCAGUAGGGAAUCUUCCGCAAUGGGCGAAAGCCUGACGGAGCCACGCCGCGUGAGUGAUGAAGGUCUUCGGAUCGUAAAACUCUGUUAUUAGGGAAGAACAAAUGUGUAAGUAACUGUGCACGUCUUGACGGUACCUAAUCAGAAAGCCACGGCUAACUACGUG
RNAcentral lists this ribosomal RNA (497 nucleotides) under uncultured bacterium. RNAcentral describes it as "partial 16S ribosomal RNA". It matches the Rfam family "Bacterial small subunit ribosomal RNA", at positions 28 to 507 of the family's 1533-position model. The record is from RNAcentral.